UGGGGAAUUUUGGACAAUGGGCGCAAGCCUGAUCCAGCCAUGCCGCGUGCAGGAUGAAGGCCUUCGGGUUGUAAACUGCUUUUGUACGGAACGAAAAGACUCCUUCUAAUAAAGGGGGUCCAUGACGGUACCGUAAGAAUAAGCACCGGCUAACUACGUGCCAGCAGCCGCGGUAAUACGUAGGGUGCGAGCGUUAAUCGGAAUUACUGGGCGUAAAGCGCGCGUAGGUGGUUUGUUAAGUUGAAUGUGAAAUCCCCGGGCUCAACCUGGGACCUGCAUUUGUGACUGUAUAGCUAGAGUACGGUAGAGGGGGAUGGAAUUCCGCGUGUAGCAGUGAAAUGCGUAGAUAUGCGGAGGAACACCGAUGGCGAAGGCAAUCCCCUGGACCUGUACUGACGCUCAUGCACGAAAGCGUGGGGAGCAAACA
This 427-nucleotide ribosomal RNA is filed under the name uncultured bacterium. RNAcentral's name for it is "bacterial SSU rRNA". It matches the Rfam family "Bacterial small subunit ribosomal RNA", at positions 355 to 774 of the family's 1533-position model. The record is from RNAcentral.